This is a long non-coding RNA of Dama dama (fallow deer), 703 nucleotides long. RefSeq lists it as uncharacterized. The record is from RefSeq and is a predicted model, not a curated record. The transcript has 4 exons. Lineage: Eukaryota; Metazoa; Chordata; Mammalia; Artiodactyla; Cervidae.
GCCGGGGCUGUGCAGUCAGGGCACUGGACUCGGGCUCCCCCUCCCCCACGGACGCAGCAGAGACAGUGGCCCCACGUGGAAAAACACCCCGGCUGGCGUGAGCCGCUGCUCGCGCCGGAAGCAAUCCGGUUUCCUCUGCAGGGGGCCGGGGCUCCAGCCGACCGCAGCUUACAGCACUCGGCUGGAAUCCUCAGGAUUUCCUACAUAUCAGAUCACACCAUCUGCCAACGGAGGUCAUUUUGCUUCUUCCGUUCCCCUUGGUCCUGUUUGCAUCGGUGUGACCCUGCACAGAAAACCUGGUGGUGUUUAGUCGCUCAGUCGUGUCCGACUCUCCGCAACCCCAGGGGCUGCAGCCCGCCAGGCUCCUCUGUCCAUGGAAUCCUCCAGGCCAGAACACUGAAAAAUAAUAUACAGUAGUCUGCAGUGCCUUCUUAUUAUCUGCCUUUUGAAGUGGGUGUUGUUGCACUUUAAAAAGCCUUCUUACACAUGCAGUAAAGCCCCCUCUGCAGCGCUCAGCCCUGCAGGUCUCCUUAACGUCACGUGAAUGGACCUGUACAGCCCUUGGGGUCCGGAGUCUUUCCUGCAGACAAGGCGCUGGGGGCUCAUGCCCACCGGGAGGCACCUCGUGGACGGACCGCAGGGGCCAGCGCCGCGCCAGCCGGAUGACGCCUAUUUUGUUUCCGGUUUGGGGCGACCGUAAAUA